This 460-nucleotide ribosomal RNA is filed under the name uncultured bacterium. Its description in RNAcentral is "partial 16S ribosomal RNA". It matches the Rfam family "Bacterial small subunit ribosomal RNA", at positions 338 to 795 of the family's 1533-position model. The record is from RNAcentral.
CCUACGGGAGGCAGCAGUGAGGAAUAUUGGUCAAUGGACGAGAGUCUGAACCAGCCAAGUAGCGUGAAGGAUGACUGCCCUAUGGGUUGUAAACUUCUUUUAUAUGGGAAUAAAAUGUUCCACGUGUGGGAUUUUGUAUGUACUAUAUGAAUAAGGAUCGGCUAACUCCGUGCCAGCAGCCGCGGUAAUACGGAGGAUCCGAGCGUUAUCCGGAUUUAUUGGGUUUAAAGGGAGCGUAGGUGGAUUGUUAAGUCAGUUGUGAAAGUUUGCGGCUCAACCGUAAAAUUGCAGUUGAUACUGGCAGUCUUGAGUACAGUAGAGGUGGGCGGAAUUCGUGGUGUAGCGGUGAAAUGCUUAGAUAUCACGAAGAACUCCGAUUGCGAAGGCAGUUCACUGGACUGCAACUGACACUGAGGCUCGAAAGUGUGGGUAUCAAACAGGAUUAGAUACCCCUGUAGUC